UGAGCGCUCCGUUUGAAACAUGGCGCGGGCUGCCCCGUGGCUGGUGCUGAGUGAGGAAGCGAUCCGGUGGAAGAGCGGCCUGGAGCCUCAGCGCAACCUGGCCGAGCUUCCGUCAUUGUCUAUCCCUGGAACUUACCAAGAGAUCACCCACCUGGGACAUUCUCUGAUGCGUUUAACGGGUCUGAAAUCUCUCGAUCUCUCACGCAACUCCUUGGUUAGCCUGGAGGGUAUUCAGUACCUGACUGCCCUGGAGAGUCUCAGUCUCUACCACAGCUGCAUCUCCUCGCUGGCAGAAGUGUUUCGGCCCCACUCCCUGACCGAGCUUGUGGACGUGGACUUGCGGCUGAACCCCGUGGUGAAGGCCGAGUCUGACUACCGCCAUUUUGUUGUGCACCUGCUCCCCAGGCUCCGGCGGCCGGAAUGAUUUGAGACAACAUUUAGAUACAUCUUCGGAAGAGAAUAGUGGCUUAAAAUCGCUUUUGUUCAGUAUGAAAAAGGAGGUGAAAAAUGCAGACGCUGCAGCUACCUUAAAUCUGCAGCUCGCUG
This 546-nucleotide long non-coding RNA is filed under the name Aotus nancymaae (Ma's night monkey). RNAcentral describes it as "lncRNA (ENSANAG00000038841.1)". Lineage: Eukaryota; Metazoa; Chordata; Mammalia; Primates; Aotidae. The record is from RNAcentral.